Molecule: long non-coding RNA, 1173 nt
Organism: Aphis gossypii (cotton aphid)
Lineage: Eukaryota; Metazoa; Arthropoda; Insecta; Hemiptera; Aphididae
Exons: 3
Source: RefSeq, a predicted model, not a curated record
UAAUUCCACGGAAGAUUUUUAGUUAAAAAAAACUCAUAACACUUAGUUUGUUGGGGGGGGGGGGCUAACCCAUACGGGGUAAAUUGUACGAUAUUCGGUUCGGUUAAUAUAAAUUAACAAAAUUAUAGACAUGGCAAGAUAUGAAAUGUGAAGUAAAAAAAAAGAAAACACAAAUUAGGGUCAAUAAUAAUCAAACGGGUGGAGGUAAACGAACGGUAGGUGAACUAAGUUGCAUUGAAGAAGCAGUGAUUAGUAUGAUAGGUGAUGUUCCUGUGAGCGGUGAUCCACAGAUAAGCGAGUCUGCGUUUAAACAAAAAUAUAACAUAUUCUUUAUAAUAUUAAAAUAUGUAUUAGUCAUCAAGAUCAAGCCACCGCAUUAGUGAUUGAAGUACCUGCGGAUGAAGAUAUUACUUGUGACACUAAUAACUUCAUUAAGUAUAAUAUUAAUAAUUUUUGGUAUUCAAACACAUACCCUACUAUACUCAUAAAAAUUGCAGAUAUACAGAUGAUGUAUGGUUGUGUUUGGAAAAGAACACUGAUGAUGAUAAUAAUGCACAAGUUGCAUCAACAAAUUCUAUGUUAGUCUUAUGUUUGUCUAUAACUUAAUGUAUACAAUACGCAUAUUAUUUUAACAAAAUUCUUUAACAUAAAUUCACCUAGAUUAACUUUAUAAAUUUACAUAUUUAUAUUAUUAGGACCAUAAUACCUGAUAGCCAACCAUCAACUUCAACCUCGCGUAUAAAUAACUCGACAGAUUUAGUCAUUAAUACACCGACUACCACUAAUAAAAGGAAAUUAGAAGCGUUAAUAAAAGAAAAGGAACAUUUUCCAAAAAAAAUUACGAAAAAAGAUCGUUUACAGCACACUUUUAGAGCUCAAGAAGAACUGUCAUUAGCUACUAAUGACAGAAAUAUUAUUUUUAAAGAUUUUUAUAAAAAAAAAAUUGAUUACUAUAAUGAAUUAUUGAAACUUAAAGAAAGAAGUGCAGCCGCAAAAGAAAGAAGUGCGGCAGCACAAGAAAGUAUUGCAGAAUCUUUAAAGUUAAUUUACAGCAAUAAACAUAACAAUAUAAUAUAAUAUAAUAACAUAAUAAUAAACAUACAUAAAAUUUUUAAUUUUUCUUCAAGUAUCUAUAACCUAGCUAUUACUUAAAUUACUAAAAAUAUCAGUCAU